Molecule: unclassified non-coding RNA, 263 nt
Filed under: plant metagenome
Description: partial contains small subunit ribosomal RNA, internal transcribed spacer 1, and 5.8S ribosomal RNA
Source: RNAcentral
CCUCCGUUGGUGAACCAGCGGAGGGAUCAUUACCGAGUUUACAACUCCCAAACCCAAUGUGAACGUUACCAAACUGUUGCCUCGGCGGGAUCUCUGCCCCGGGUGCGUCGCAGCCCCGGACCAAGGCGCCCGCCGGAGGACCAACCUAAAACUCUUAUUGUAUACCCCCUCGCGGGUUUUUUUAUAAUCUGAGCCUUCUCGGCGCCUCUCGUAGGCGUUUCGAAAAUGUAUCAAAACUUUCAACAACGGAUCUCUUGGUUCUG